This 212-nucleotide unclassified non-coding RNA is filed under the name plant metagenome. RNAcentral's name for it is "partial contains small subunit ribosomal RNA, internal transcribed spacer 1, and 5.8S ribosomal RNA". The record is from RNAcentral.
UUUCCGUAGGUGAACCUGCGGAAGGACCAUUAAAAAUGAAGCCGGGAAACCGGUCCUUCUAACCCUUGAUUAUCUUAAUUUGUUGCUUUGGUGGGCCGCGCAAGCACCGGCUUCGGCUGGAUCGUGCCCGCCAGAGGACACAACUCUGUAUCAAAUGUCGUCUGAGUACUAUAAAAUAGUUAAAACUUUCAGCAACGGAUCUCUUGGUUCUG